AUCGGGCGAGCUUAAGAUAGNGUCCCUUCGGGGACGCAAAUGACAGGUGGUGCAUGGUUNGUCGUCAGCUCGUGUCGUGAGAUGUUGGGUUAAGUCCCGCAACGAGCGCAACCCUUGUCAUCUAGUUGCCAUGCAUUAAGUUGGGCACUCUAAUGAGACUGCCGGUGACAAACCGGAGGAAGGUGGGGAUGACGUCAAAUCAUCAUGCCCCUUAUGACCUGGGCUACACACGUGCUACAAUGGACGGUACAACGAGUCGCAAACCUCGCGAAAGUAAGCUAAUCUCUUAAAGCCGUUCUCAGUUCGGACUGUAGGCUGCAACUCGCCUACACGAAGUNGGAAUCGCUAGUAAUCGCGGAUCACAUGCCGCGGUGAAUACGUUCCCGGGUCUUGUACACACCG
Molecule: ribosomal RNA, 402 nt
Filed under: uncultured bacterium
Lineage: Bacteria
Description: bacterial SSU rRNA
Rfam family: Bacterial small subunit ribosomal RNA
Source: RNAcentral